AAAAUCUUACAUUCUUAUAAACAUUAUAAUUUAUUUUACUGUUUAAGAAAUAAUUUAGAAUUUCUAAUACUCAUAUACUCUUAUUAUAGCCCAGAAACUUGUCUCCUUGGAAACUUGCCUAACACAGAAAUUUACAGAUGCAUAGAAAAGUAUCCUAAUGUAGUUGAAAUUCCAGGAAUAAAGAUUUUCCACUUUGGAGCUUCCAUUUAUUUUGGAAAUAGGGAAUAUUUUC
Non-coding RNA from Parasteatoda tepidariorum (common house spider), 232 nucleotides. NCBI's taxonomy places the organism in Eukaryota, Metazoa, Arthropoda, Arachnida, Araneae, Theridiidae. The record is from RefSeq and is a predicted model, not a curated record.